GGGUUGUGAGGUUAAGCGACUAAGCGUACACGGUGGAUGCCCUGGCAGUCAGAGGCGAUGAAGGGCGUGCUAAUCUGCGAUAAGCGCCGGUAAGGUGAUAUGAACCGUUAUAACCGGCGAUACCCGAAUGGGGAAACCCAGUGUGACUCGUCACACUAUCAUUAACUGAAUCCAUAGGUUAAUGAGGCGAACCGGGGGAACUGAAACAUCUAAGUACCCCGAGGAAAAGAAAUCAACCGAGAUUCCCCCAGUAGCGGCGAGCGAACGGGGAGGAGCCCAGAGCCUGAAUCAGCAUGUGUGUUAGUGGAAGCGUCUGGAAAGGCGCGCGAUACAGGGUGACAGCCCCGUACACAAAAGCGCAUGUGCUGUGAGCUCGAUGAGUAGGGCGGGACACGUGGUAUCCUGUCUGAAUAUGGGGGGACCAUCCUCCAAGGCUAAAUACUCCUGACUGACCGAUAGUGAACCAGUACCGUGAGGGAAAGGCGAAAAGAACCCCGGCGAGGGGAGUGAAAAAGAACCUGAAACCGUGUACGUACAAGCAGUGGGAGCACAGGUUUACCUGUGUGACUGCGUACCUUUUGUAUAAUGGGUCAGCGACUUAUAUUCUGUAGCAAGGUUAACCGAAUAGGGGAGCCGCAGGGAAACCGAGUCUUAAUUGGGCGUUAAGUUGCAGGGUAUAGACCCGAAACCCGGUGAUCUAGCCAUGGGCAGGUUGAAGGUUGGGUAACACUAACUGGAGGACCGAACCGACUAAUGUUGAAAAAUUAGCGGAUGACCUGUGGCUGGGGGUGAAAGGCCAAUCAAACCGGGAGAUAGCUGGUUCUCCCCGAAAGCUAUUUAGGUAGCGCCUCGUGAAUUCAUCUCCGGGGGUAGAGCACUGUUUCGGCUAGGGGGCCAUCCCGGCUUACCAACCCGAUGCAAACUGCGAAUACCGGAGAAUGUUAUCACGGGAGACACACGGCGGGUGCUAACGUCCGUCGUGAAGAGGGAAACAACCCAGACCGCCAGCUAAGGUCCCAAAGUCAUGGUUAAGUGGGAAACGAUGUGGGAAGGCCCAGACAGCCAGGAUGUUGGCUUAGAAGCAGCCAUCAUUUAAAGAAAGCGUAAUAGCUCACUGGUCGAGUCGGCCUGCGCGGAAGAUGUAACGGGGCUAAACCAUGCACCGAAGCUGCGGCAGCGAACGUAUCACCCAAGACAACUUUACGGAGUUGACGAUUGACGGAGCGAAGCGACGUCAAAGCGUUCAUUAAAGUCGAGUUGGCUUAGGGAUACGUUCGUUGGGUAGGGGAGCGUUCUGUAAGCCUGCGAAGGUGGCCUGUGAGGGUUGCUGGAGGUAUCAGAAGUGCGAAUGCUGACAUAAGUAACGAUAAAGCGGGUGAAAAGCCCGCUCGCCGGAAGACCAAGGGUUCCUGUCCAACGUUAAUCGGGGCAGGGUGAGUCGACCCCUAAGGCGAGGCCGAAAGGCGUAGUCGAUGGGAAACGGGUUAAUAUUCCCGUACUUGGUGUUACUGCGAAGGGGGGACGGAGAAGGCUAUGUUGGCCGGGCGACGGUUGUCCCGGUUUAAGCGUGUAGGUGUGUGUUCCAGGUAAAUCCGGUUCACUUUAACACUGAGGCGUGAUGACGAGGCACUACGGUGCUGAAGCAACAAAUGCCCUGCUUCCAGGAAAAGCCUCUAAGCAUCAGGUAACAUCAAAUCGUACCCCAAACCGACACAGGUGGUCAGGUAGAGAAUACCAAGGCGCUUGAGAGAACUCGGGUGAAGGAACUAGGCAAAAUGGUGCCGUAACUUCGGGAGAAGGCACGCUGACAUGUAGGUGAAGUGAUUUACUCAUGGAGCUGAAGUCAGUCGAAGAUACCAGCUGGCUGCAACUGUUUAUUAAAAACACAGCACUGUGCAAACACGAAAGUGGACGUAUACGGUGUGACGCCUGCCCGGUGCCGGAAGGUUAAUUGAUGGGGUCAGCGCAAGCGAAGCUCCUGAUCGAAGCCCCGGUAAACGGCGGCCGUAACUAUAACGGUCCUAAGGUAGCGAAAUUCCUUGUCGGGUAAGUUCCGACCUGCACGAAUGGCGUAAUGAUGGCCAGGCUGUCUCCACCCGAGACUCAGUGAAAUUGAACUCGCUGUGAAGAUGCAGUGUACCCGCGGCAAGACGGAAAGACCCCGUGAACCUUUACUAUAGCUUGACACUGAACAUUGAGCCUUGAUGUGUAGGAUAGGUGGGAGGCUUUGAAGUGUGGACGCCAGUCUGCAUGGAGCCGACCUUGAAAUACCACCCUUUAAUGUUUGAUGUUCUAACGUGGACCCGUUAUCCGGGUUGCGGACAGUGUCUGGUGGGUAGUUUGACUGGGGCGGUCUCCUCCUAAAGAGUAACGGAGGAGCACGAAGGUUGGCUAAUCCUGGUCGGACAUCAGGAGGUUAGUGCAAUGGCAUAAGCCAGCUUGACUGCGAGCGUGACGGCGCGAGCAGGUGCGAAAGCAGGUCAUAGUGAUCCGGUGGUUCUGAAUGGAAGGGCCAUCGCUCAACGGAUAAAAGGUACUCCGGGGAUAACAGGCUGAUACCGCCCAAGAGUUCAUAUCGACGGCGGUGUUUGGCACCUCGAUGUCGGCUCAUCACAUCCUGGGGCUGAAGUAGGUCCCAAGGGUAUGGCUGUUCGCCAUUUAAAGUGGUACGCGAGCUGGGUUUAGAACGUCGUGAGACAGUUCGGUCCCUAUCUGCCGUGGGCGCUGGAGAACUGAGGGGGGCUGCUCCUAGUACGAGAGGACCGGAGUGGACGCAUCACUGGUGUUCGGGUUGUCAUGCCAAUGGCACUGCCCGGUAGCUAAAUGCGGAAGAGAUAAGUGCUGAAAGCAUCUAAGCACGAAACUUGCCCCGAGAUGAGUUCUCCCUGAGACUUUAGGUCUCCUGAAGGAACGUUGAAGACGACGACGUUGAUAGGCCGGGUGUGUAAGCGCAGCGAUGCGUUGAGCUAACCGGUACUAAUGAACCGUGAGGCUUAACCUUACAACGCCGAAG
This 3013-nucleotide ribosomal RNA is filed under the name Salmonella enterica subsp. enterica serovar Montevideo. Its description in RNAcentral is "23S ribosomal RNA". It matches the Rfam family "Bacterial large subunit ribosomal RNA". Lineage: Bacteria; Pseudomonadati; Pseudomonadota; Gammaproteobacteria; Enterobacterales; Enterobacteriaceae. The record is from RNAcentral. RNAcentral also lists the same sequence under 2 other names.